Molecule: ribosomal RNA, 370 nt
Filed under: uncultured Chaetoceros
Lineage: Eukaryota; Bacillariophyta; Thalassiosirophyceae; Chaetocerotales; Chaetocerotaceae
Description: SSU rRNA
Rfam family: Eukaryotic small subunit ribosomal RNA
Source: RNAcentral
CCAGCUCCAAUAGCGUAUAUUAAAGUUGUUGCAGUUAAAAAGCUCGUAGUUGAAUUUCUGGGCCUCUGCCCAGUGUCUGCUUCGGCAUGACGCUGGGAGGGGUCCAUCCACACAGGGAAGGCAGGGGGCAACCCCUGUCGGACCUGUGUCCUUUACUGUGAGAAAAUUAGAGUGUUUAAAGCAGGCCUGUAGGCUUGAAUACAUUAGCAUGGAAUAAUGAGAUAGGACUUUGGUACUAUUUUGUUGGUUGCGUACUGAGGUAAUGAUUAAUAGGGACAGUUGGGGGUAUUCGUAUUUAACUGUCAGAGGUGAAAUUCUUGGAUUUGUUAAAGACGAACUACUGCGAAAGCAUUUACCAAGGAUGUUUUCA